RNAcentral lists this ribosomal RNA (539 nucleotides) under Betta uberis. RNAcentral's name for it is "partial 16S ribosomal RNA". It matches the Rfam family "Bacterial large subunit ribosomal RNA", at positions 1856 to 2597 of the family's 2925-position model. The record is from RNAcentral. Lineage: Eukaryota; Metazoa; Chordata; Actinopteri; Anabantiformes; Osphronemidae.
CGCCUGCCCUGUGACAAAGGUUUAACGGCCGCGGUAUUUUGACCGUGCAAAGGUAGCGCAAUCACUUGUCCUUUAAAUGAAGACCUGUAUGAAUGGCAUCACGAGGGCUUAACUGUCUCCUUUUUCCAGUCAAUGAAAUUGAUCCCCCCGUGCAGAAGCGGGGAUAAGACCAUAAGACGAGAAGACCCUAUGAAGCUUUAGACGCAAAGCAGAUCUUGUUAAACACUUCAAAAUAAAGAAACAAACUAAAAGAAUGCUGUCCUGAUGUCUUUGGUUGGGGCGACCACGGGGAAACGAAAAACCCCCAUGCGGACUGAGAAAACAAUUCUCACAACCAAGAGCCACAGCUCCAGUUAACAGAAUUUCUGACCUUUAGAUCCGGCAGUGCCGAUCAACGGACCGAGUUACUCUAGGGAUAACAGCGCAAUCCUCUUUUAGAGUUCCUAUCGACAAGGGGGUUUACGACCUCGAUGUUGGAUCAGGACAUCCUAAUGGUGCAGCAGCUAUUAAGGGUUCGUUUGUUCAACGAUUAAAGUCCU